Molecule: ribosomal RNA, 253 nt
Filed under: uncultured bacterium
Lineage: Bacteria
Description: partial 16S ribosomal RNA
Rfam family: Bacterial small subunit ribosomal RNA
Source: RNAcentral
UACGUAGGGGGCUAGCGUUGUCCGGAAUCAUUGGGCGUAAAGAGCGUGUAGGCGGCCCGGUAAGUCCGCUGUGAAAGUCGGGGGCUCAACCCUCGAAUGCCGGUGGAUACUGUCGGGCUAGAGUGCGGAAGAGGCGAGUGGAAUUCCUGGUGUAGCGGUGAAAUGCGCAGAUAUCAGGAGGAACACCGGUGGCGAAGGCGGCGUCCUGGACCAACACUGACACUGAUGAGCGAAAGCCAGGGGAGCAAACGGG